CGAGGAGGGUUAACUCCGUGACGCGGCCGGGCCAAGCGUGGAGCAGUUUUGAGGGGGAAAUUCCCCCUCCUCUGGGGCACCAUGAGUAUGAGCAGCGGCUGCCCCGGCCCUCUGUUUCCGGCUUCUCCGACUACCCAGGUCCCUCCCUGGAGCUCUGACGACACAGAGAAGAGAAAGUGGGCUGGAGGAGGAAGAGGAAGAAAGUGGGGAAGGUGAGGAGCACGUACCGGUAGUGAAAUAACACGUAUCAUCUUCUCUAACGGAUCGCACUGGUGGGGUGCUGUGAGGCCAUCGAAGGAUUCAGAGGCAUAUCUCACAUCGGUCUGACUCCACUUAAAAGCUUUGUGACUGUGGGUCAAGCCCUCAAACGGAGAGCCUGCACUCUAGAACCCAUGAGCCACAAGUACUGAGCCCACGUUCCACAACUACUGAAGCCCACACACCUAGAGCCCGUGCUCCACAACAAGAGAAGCCACCGUAAUGAGAAGCCCGUGCACCACAAUGAAGAGUAGCCCCUGCUCGCCACAACGAGAGAAAGCCGGCGCGCAACGAAGACCCAAUG
Long non-coding RNA from Hippopotamus amphibius kiboko, 562 nucleotides. RefSeq lists it as uncharacterized. The record is from RefSeq and is a predicted model, not a curated record. The transcript has 4 exons. Lineage: Eukaryota; Metazoa; Chordata; Mammalia; Artiodactyla; Hippopotamidae.